AUUGAAUACUGACAGUUCUGAAGUUAGAGCUUUAUCACAUUGGAGAGAACUUCUAGAAAAGGUUGCAGAUAAUAUUAUUUCACAUGAACAAGGAUUGGAUAACCAACAGGAUUCUGGUGAAAAAGGAUUAUAGAAGUUAUCUCUAGAUCACGAGGAGUUAUCUUUAGACUUUCUUUUGUGUAACUUUGAUGGGAAUAGUUAUUUUUUUAUUGGAUGAAUGUUGGAUGCACUUAUAUUAAUGAUUAUAGA
This is a long non-coding RNA of Zingiber officinale, 249 nucleotides long. RefSeq lists it as uncharacterized. The transcript has 3 exons. Lineage: Eukaryota; Viridiplantae; Streptophyta; Magnoliopsida; Zingiberales; Zingiberaceae. The record is from RefSeq and is a predicted model, not a curated record.